RNAcentral lists this transfer RNA (70 nucleotides) under Erronea caurica. Its description in RNAcentral is "tRNA-Gly". Lineage: Eukaryota; Metazoa; Mollusca; Gastropoda; Littorinimorpha; Cypraeidae. The record is from RNAcentral.
AUCUUUUGAGUAUGAAGUAGUACAGUUGCCUUCCAAGCAAAAAGAUUAAUAAAUUUUAAAAAAGAUACCA